RNAcentral lists this ribosomal RNA (429 nucleotides) under Bacteroidota bacterium. Its description in RNAcentral is "Bacteroidetes bacterium partial 16S ribosomal RNA". It matches the Rfam family "Bacterial small subunit ribosomal RNA", at positions 355 to 776 of the family's 1533-position model. The record is from RNAcentral. Lineage: Bacteria; Pseudomonadati; Bacteroidota.
UAGGGAAUCUUCCGCAAUGGACGCAAGUCUGACGGAGCAACGCCGCGUGAGUGAAGAAGGAUUUCGGUUCGUAAAACUCUGUUGUUAGAGAAGAACAGCGCAUAGAGUAACUGUUAUGCGUGUGACGGUAUCUAACCAGAAAGCCACGGCUAACUACGUGCCAGCAGCCGCGGUAAUACGUAGGUGGCAAGCGUUGUCCGGAUUUAUUGGGCGUAAAGCGAGCGCAGGCGGUCAAUUAAGUCUGAUGUGAAAGCCCCCGGCUCAACCGGGGAGGGUCAUUGGAAACUGGUUGACUUGAGUGCAGAAGAGGAGAGUGGAAUUCCAUGUGUAGCGGUGAAAUGCGUAGAUAUAUGGAGGAACACCAGUGGCAAAGGCGACUCUCUGGUCUGUAACUGACGCUGAGGCUCGAAAGCGUGGGUAGCAAACAGG